This 450-nucleotide ribosomal RNA is filed under the name uncultured bacterium. RNAcentral's name for it is "partial 16S ribosomal RNA". It matches the Rfam family "Bacterial small subunit ribosomal RNA", at positions 354 to 796 of the family's 1533-position model. The record is from RNAcentral.
GUGGGGAAUUUUGGACAAUGGGCGCAAGCCUGAUCCAGCAAUGCCGCGUGCAGGAAGAAGGCCUUCGGGUUGUAAACUGCUUUUGUACGGAACGAAAAGGCUCUGGUUAAUACCUGGGGCUCAUGACGGUACCGUAAGAAUAAGCACCGGCUAACUACGUGCCAGCAGCCGCGGUAAUACGUAGGGUGCAAGCGUUAAUCGGAAUUACUGGGCGUAAAGCGUGCGCAGGCGGUUUUGUAAGACAGAGGUGAAAUCCCCGGGCUCAACCUGGGAAUUGCGCUUGUGACUGCAGCGCUGGAGUGCGGCAGAGGGGGAUGGAAUUCCGCGUGUAGCAGUGAAAUGCGUAGAUAUGCGGAGGAACACCGAUGGCGAAGGCAAUCCCCUGGGCCUGCACUGACGCUCAUGCACGAAAGCGUGGGGAGCAAACAGGAUUAGAUACCCGUGUAGUCC